UGGGGAAUUUUGGACAAUGGGCGCAAGCCUGAUCCAGCCAUGCCGCGUGCGGGAAGAAGGCCUUCGGGUUGUAAACCGCUUUUGUCAGGGAAGAAAUCUUCUGAGUUAAUACCUCGGGAGGAUGACGGUACCUGAAGAAUAAGCACCGGCUAACUACGUGCCAGCAGCCGCGGUAAUACGUAGGGUGCAAGCGUUAAUCGGAAUUACUGGGCGUAAAGCGUGCGCAGGCGGUUUUGUAAGACAGAGGUGAAAUCCCCGGGCUCAACCUGGGAACUGCCUUUGUGACUGCAAGGCUUGAGUGCGGCAGAGGGGGAUGGAAUUCCGCGUGUAGCAGUGAAAUGCGUAGAUAUGCGGAGGAACACCGAUGGCGAAGGCAAUCCCCUGGGCCCGCACUGACGCUCAUGCACGAAAGCGUGGGGAGCAAAACAGGAUUAGAUACCCUGGUAGUCCACGCCCUAAACGAUGUCAAACUGGUUGUUGGGAAGGUUCCUUCUCAGUAACGUAGCUAACGCGUGAAAGUUGACCGCCUGGGGAGUACGGCCGCAAGGUUGAAAACUC
This 558-nucleotide ribosomal RNA is filed under the name uncultured bacterium. Its description in RNAcentral is "partial 16S ribosomal RNA". It matches the Rfam family "Bacterial small subunit ribosomal RNA", at positions 355 to 902 of the family's 1533-position model. The record is from RNAcentral.